This 480-nucleotide ribosomal RNA is filed under the name uncultured bacterium. RNAcentral's name for it is "bacterial SSU rRNA". It matches the Rfam family "Bacterial small subunit ribosomal RNA", at positions 903 to 1397 of the family's 1533-position model. The record is from RNAcentral.
AAAGGAAUUGACGGGGACCCGCACAAGUAGUGGAUCGUGUUCUUUAAUUCGAUGCUAAACGAAGAACCUUACCAGGGCUUGACAUCCCAAGAAUUUCUGCGAAAGCAGAAAGUGCUUUAUUGAACUUGGUGACAGGUGCUGCAUGGCCGUCGUCAGCUCGUGUCGUGAGAUGUUUGGUUAAGUCCAUCAACGAGCGCAACCCUUAUGAAUAGUUGGAUUUUUCUAUUCAGACUGCCCCGGUAACGGGGAGGAAGGAGGGGAUGAUGUCAGGUCAGUAUUGCCCUUACGUCCUGGGCUAGAAACGCGAUACAAUGGCCGGUACAACGCGAAGCCAACCCGCGAGGGGGAGCAAAUCGCACCAAAGCCGGUCCCAGUUCGGAUUGUAGGCUGAAACUCGCCUGCAUGAAGCCGGAAUUACUAGUAAUCGCAGGUCAGCAAACUGCGGUGAAUACGUUCCCGGGUCUUGUACACACCGCCCGU